This 248-nucleotide ribosomal RNA is filed under the name uncultured bacterium. RNAcentral describes it as "partial 16S ribosomal RNA". It matches the Rfam family "Bacterial small subunit ribosomal RNA", at positions 109 to 354 of the family's 1533-position model. The record is from RNAcentral.
AGUAACACGUAAGCAACCUGCCUAUCAGAGGGGAACAACAGUUAGAAAUGACUGCUAAUACCGCAAAUAUGCCUUAGUAUCGCAUGGUACAAAAGGGAAAGGAGCAAUCCGCUGAUAGAUGGGCUUGCGUCUGAUUAGCUAGUUGGUGGGGUAAAGGCCUACCAAGGCGACGAUCAGUAGCCGGACUGAGAGGUUGAACGGCCACAUUGGGACUGAGAUACGGCCCAGACUCCUACGGGAGGCAGCAG